GACGAACGCUGGCGGCGUGCUUAACACAUGCAAGUCGAACGAUGAACCCGGAGCUUGCUCCGGCGGAUUAGUGGCGAACGGGUGAGUAACACGUGAGUAACCUGCCCUUGACUCUGGGAUAACUGCUAGAAAUGGUAGCUAAUACCGGAUACGACCCUCGGCGGCAUCGCCAGGGUGGGGAAAGAAUUUCGGUCAAGGAUGGACUCGCGGCCUAUCAGCUAGUUGGUGAGGUAACGGCUCACCAAGGCGACGACGGGUAGCCGGCCUGAGAGGGUGACCGGCCACACUGGGACUGAGACACGGCCCAGACUCCUACGGGAGGCAGCAGUGGGGAAUAUUGCACAAUGGGCGCAAGCCUGAUGCAGCAACGCCGCGUGAGGGAUGACGGCCUUCGGGUUGUAAACCUCUUUUAGUAGGGAAGAAGCGAAAGUGACGGUACCUGCAGAAAAAGCACCGGCUAACUACGUGCCAGCCGCCGCGGUAA
This 484-nucleotide ribosomal RNA is filed under the name uncultured bacterium. RNAcentral's name for it is "partial 16S ribosomal RNA". It matches the Rfam family "Bacterial small subunit ribosomal RNA", at positions 28 to 523 of the family's 1533-position model. The record is from RNAcentral.